AAAUGUAUCUUGCCACUCUGGACAGACCUGGUCUCAUUUGAUCUCUAAGCAGGGUUGGGCCUCGAUUGUCCUUGAUUGAGAGACCACCUGGGACGACAAAGUGCUGUAAGUA
Molecule: ribosomal RNA, 112 nt
Filed under: Oryzias melastigma (Indian medaka)
Lineage: Eukaryota; Metazoa; Chordata; Actinopteri; Beloniformes; Adrianichthyidae
Source: RNAcentral